GUGCUCACUUCAGCAGUGCAUAUACUAAAAUUGGAAUGAUACAGAAAAGAUUAGCACAGCCCCUGCACAAGCAUGCCUCCUGCACAAGCAUGGCACACAAAGUCAUGAAGAGGUCCAUAAUUUU
This is a small nuclear RNA of Pongo abelii (Sumatran orangutan), 124 nucleotides long. NCBI's taxonomy places the organism in Eukaryota, Metazoa, Chordata, Mammalia, Primates, Hominidae. The record is from Ensembl.